Non-coding RNA from Trichonephila clavipes, 74 nucleotides. Lineage: Eukaryota; Metazoa; Arthropoda; Arachnida; Araneae; Nephilidae. The record is from the annotation of a GenBank genome assembly.
GCCUCCGUGGCGAAAUUUGCUAGCGUGUUCGGCUGUUAACAGAAUGGUUGGUGGUUCAAGCACAUCCGGUGGCA